AGUCGAGGGGCAGCAUGAACUUAGCCUUGCUAAGCUUUGAUGGCGACCGGCGCACGGGCUGAGUAACACGAUAUCCAACCUGCCGAUGACUCGGGGAUAGCCUUUCGAAAGAAAGAUUAAUACCCGAUGGCAUAGUUCUUCCGCAUGGCUAGAACUAUUAAAGAAUUUCGGUCAUCGAUGGGGAUGCGUUCCAUUAGGUUGUUGGCGGGGUAACGGCCCACCAAGCCUUCGAUGGAUAGGGGUUCUGAGAGGAAGGUCCCCCACAUUGGAACUGAGACACGGUCCAAACUCAUACGGGAGGCAGCAGUGAGGAAUAUUGGUCAAUGGACGAGAGUCUGAACCAGCCAAGUAGCGUGAAGGAUGACUGNCCCUAUNGGGUUGUAAACUUCUUUUAUACGGGAAUAAAGUGAGGCACGUGUGCCUUUUUGUAUGUACCCGUAUGAAUAAGGAUCGGCUAACUCCGUGCCAGCAGCCGCGGUAAUACGGAGGAUCCGAGCGUUAUCCGGAUUUAUUGGGUUUAAAAGGGAGCGUAGGCGGACGCUUAAGUCAGUUGUGAAAGUUUGCGGCUCAACCGUAAAAUUGCAGUUGAUACUGGGUGUCUUGAGUACAGUAGAGGCAGGCGGAAUUCGUGGUGUAGCGGUGAAAUGCUUAGAUAUCACGAAGAACUCCGAUUGCGAAGGCAGCUUGCUGGACUGUAACUGACGCUGAUGCUCGAAAGUGUGGGUAUCAAACAGGAUUAGAUACCCUGGUAGUCCACACAGUAAACGAUGAAUACUCGCUGUUUGCGAUAUACAGUAAGCGGCCAAGCGAAAGCGUUAAGUAUUCCACCUGGGGGAGUACGCCGGCAACGGUGAAACUCAAAGGAAUUGACGGGGGCCCGCACAAGCGGAGGAACAUGUGGUUUAAUUCGAUGAUACGCGAGGAACCUUACCCGGGCUUGAAUUGCAACUGAAUGAUGUGGAGACAUGUCAGCCCCAAGGCAGUUGUGAAGGUGCUGCAUGGNUUGUCGUCAGCUCGUGCCGUGAGGUGUCGGCUUAAGUGCCAUAACGAGCGCAACCCUUAUCGAUAGUUACCAUCAGGUUAUGCUGGGGACUCUGUCGAGACUGCCGUCGUAAGAUGUGAGGAAGGUGGGGAUGACGUCAAAUCAGCACGGCCCUUACGUCCGGGGCUACACACGUGUUACAAUGGGGGGUACAGAAGGCAGCUACACGGCGACGUGAUGCUAAUCCCUAAAGCCUCUCUCAGUUCGGAUUGGAGUCUGCAACCCGACUCCAUGAAGCUGGAUUCGCUAGUAAUCGCGCAUCAGCCACGGCGCGGUGAAUACGUUCCCGGGCCUUGUACACACCGCCCGUCAAGCCAUGAAAGCCGGGGGUACCUGAAGUGCGUAACCGCAAGAG
RNAcentral lists this ribosomal RNA (1397 nucleotides) under bacterium NLAE-zl-G136. RNAcentral describes it as "16S ribosomal RNA". It matches the Rfam family "Bacterial small subunit ribosomal RNA". The record is from RNAcentral.